CUGCGGAUUUUUGGGCGGUGUUCUGGGGGUUCACAGGGAGGAGUCCGUGGUUGGGAGGUGGUAAUUUGGAUAGCUGGUAGUGAUUAGGCACCGUGGAAAGAGCAACAUCCCGGGCUCCGAAGGCAGGGGUUCGAGCCCCUUUGAAUUUUUUUUUAAUUAUAGUUGAUUUCCAGUGUUGUGCCAAUUUCUGCUGUGCCUUCUCAGCAAAGUGACCCAGUCAUACAUAUAUAUUUGCGUUUCCUUCCACGUGGUCUAUCCUAAAAGACUGGAUAUAGUUGCCUGUGCUGUACAGAAGGACCUCAUUGCUUAUCCAUUCUAAAUGAAAUAGUUUGCAUCCACUAACCCCAAACUCUCAUUGCCCCCACUCCCCACUGCCUUGGCAACUGUUCUCUAUGUCGGUGUGACUUUUAGAUUUUACGGUGGAGCUGACCACGACCUGGAGAACUGACAGUGCUUAUGCCAGGUCUCAGAGUGAUGAGAUGUCAGAGCUAUAAGCAGAUUCAUUCACCACAUUCCGUAGUGAAAGCCACCUCGGUCCACUGCGGCAUAUGCGCUCUGCGGUGGGACAGAGGGAGCAGUCGCGCCAGGGUCGCGGGUCACCAUGGUUUCCCCUCCGGUGUGAGUGCUGAGAUGAGGCCGGCUCUCCAUGGAUAGGACCAAGACAUGUUGGAGGUAAAGAAGGCAGCAGCCUCUGGCUUUCCCCCUGUGUGAUGAUAUUUCGGGGCGACGGUCAGGAGAAGGCCCGGGGCGGAGCAGAGGGGAUGGUGAGAGUCUUCUUUUGUCCUUGAAGAGCUCAUGAAGUGCUGAUUCCUAGAAUAUGUCUGCACACUUCUUUCGUUCACUUUUGAAUCCCCCAGAGUUGUGUCUGGGACCCUGGCAGGACAGCAAGUCUCUUCACAGCAGCCACAGUGAUCUAGAAUGAUUUAUGACCUGUUGCCUUGAAAAGCACACGCCCAGCGUCAGGCUGGGUGUGUCCUGGAAGAUACCGUGGUCUCCAUCCCAGGAAGGACUUAAGCGAGGGUGCAGACCACUCCUUAGACACCCAUUCAGGGCCGCAGGGAGGAGGGCUGAAGCCCUGAGCCUUCUCAGGAGUUCCUGUGUUCACUGACAUUUCCUCUAGGGAAAGGAGGGGGCAGAAAUCGGUACCUGUAGGGCUAACCUGGAUGUAAAGUGCUGUUACUGUCUAUGCAGAAAGGACCGAGUCUUCAGAAGCAGAGCUUAAAGCAUAAUUGCAAACUCCUUGACAUUUUCUAUUUUGAUUUUAAUUUCCAAAAAUGUGUAUAUAAUUUAGUAAUAGCAAAU
RNAcentral lists this long non-coding RNA (1302 nucleotides) under Sus scrofa (pig). RNAcentral's name for it is "lncRNA (ENSSSCG00005012667.1)". The record is from RNAcentral. Lineage: Eukaryota; Metazoa; Chordata; Mammalia; Artiodactyla; Suidae.